GCUAAAUACUCCUGACUGACCGAUAGUGAACCAGUACCGUGAGGGAAAGGCGAAAAGAACCCCGGCGAGGGGAGUGAAAAAGAACCUGAAACCGUGUACGUACAAGCAGUGGGAGCACGCUUAGGCGUGUGACUGCGUACCUUUUGUAUAAUGGGUCAGCGACUUAUAUUCUGUAGCAAGGUUAACCGAAUAGGGGAGCCGAAGGGAAACCGAGUCUUAACUGGGCGUUAAGUUGCAGGGUAUA
This 244-nucleotide ribosomal RNA is filed under the name Escherichia coli. RNAcentral describes it as "partial 23S ribosomal RNA". It matches the Rfam family "Bacterial large subunit ribosomal RNA", at positions 465 to 711 of the family's 2925-position model. The record is from RNAcentral. Lineage: Bacteria; Pseudomonadati; Pseudomonadota; Gammaproteobacteria; Enterobacterales; Enterobacteriaceae.